This 445-nucleotide ribosomal RNA is filed under the name uncultured bacterium. RNAcentral describes it as "partial 16S ribosomal RNA". It matches the Rfam family "Bacterial small subunit ribosomal RNA", at positions 331 to 793 of the family's 1533-position model. The record is from RNAcentral.
CCAGACUCCUACGGGAGGCAGCAGUGGGGAAUAUUGGGCAAUGGGCGCAAGCCUGACCCAGCAACGCCGCGUGAAGGAAGAAGGCUUUCGGGUUGUAAACUUCUUUUCUGAGGGACGAUAGUGACGGUACCUCAGGAAUAAGCCACGGCUAACUACGUGCCAGCAGCCGCGGUAAUACGUAGGGGGCAAGCGUUAUCCGGAUUUACUGGGUGUAAAGGGAGCGUAGACGGCAGCGCAAGUCUGGAGUGAAAUGCCGGGGCCCAACCCCGGAACUGCUCUGGAAACUGUGAAGCUGGAGUGCAGGAGAGGUAAGCGGAAUUCCUGGUGUAGCGGUGAAAUGCGUAGAUAUCAGGAGGAACAUCGGUGGCGUAAGCGCUUUACUGGGCCGUAAUUGACGCUGAGGAACGAAAGCCAGGGUAGCAAAUGGGAUUAGAUACCCCCGUAC